RNAcentral lists this transfer RNA (83 nucleotides) under Agrocybe pediades. RNAcentral describes it as "tRNA-Asp". It matches the Rfam family "tRNA". Rfam says of the family: Transfer RNA (tRNA) molecules are approximately 80 nucleotides in length. The record is from RNAcentral. Lineage: Eukaryota; Fungi; Basidiomycota; Agaricomycetes; Agaricales; Agrocybaceae.
UCUCUGUUAGUAUAUCGGUUAGUACACGCGCCUGUCAUGUCGCAUGGCCGCGCGAAAGCUGGGUUCGACUCCCAGACAGAGAG